RNAcentral lists this ribosomal RNA (495 nucleotides) under uncultured bacterium. RNAcentral describes it as "bacterial SSU rRNA". It matches the Rfam family "Bacterial small subunit ribosomal RNA", at positions 16 to 507 of the family's 1533-position model. The record is from RNAcentral.
AUCCUGGCUCAGGAUGAACGCUGGCGGCGUGCUUAACNCAUGCAAGUCGAACGAAGCACUUUAGUGAAUUCCUUCGGGAUGAAGCUAUUGUGACUGAGUGGCGGACGGGUGAGUAACGCGUGGGUAACCUGCCUUAUACAGGGGGAUAACAGUUAGAAAUGACUGCUAAUACCGCAUAAGCGCACAGUAUCGCAUGAUACAGUGUGAAAAGCCGAGACGGUAUAAGAUGGACCCGCGUCUGAUUAGCUAGUUGGUGAGGUAAACGGCCCACCAAGGCGACGAUCAGUAGCCGACCUGAGAGGUUGACCGGCCACAUUGGGACUGAGAUACGGCCCAGACUCCUACGGGAGGCAGCAGUGGGGAAUAUUGGGCAAUGGGCGAAAGCCUGACCCAGCGACGCCGCGUGAGGGAAGAAGAUCUUCGGAUUGUAAACCUUAGUCAACAGGGAAGAAGAAAGUGACGGUACCUGUGGAGGAAGCCACGGCUAACUACGUG